UGGAGAUGCCCCUGACUGACUUGGUU
Molecule: non-coding RNA, 26 nt
Filed under: Rattus norvegicus (Norway rat)
Lineage: Eukaryota; Metazoa; Chordata; Mammalia; Rodentia; Muridae
Source: RNAcentral